UGAAACUCAUGAAACCUUUCAAGAACAUGUGCAGGUCAUAUUACACCAAAUAUAAGAAAGUAUAUUUUACUUAAGGAAAAUGAUGACUACUUUGUGUGACCAUUUAUAUAUAUAUAUAUAUAUAUAUUUGUUUUUUUAUUUAAAAAUGAUAUAUUUUAUACAUGAACAAUCAUUAGGCCUAUAUUGACAAGUCAUCAUACUGUAUAUACUUUAAAUAUAAAAAAAAAAUCAUUACAUAUAUUACAAUAUUUUACUCUACUGUUAAAAUUAUAAAAAUUACUGUGUAGUAAUGAUAAUCACAAUGUUGAGAAUAAAAACAACUACAAAAAAACAACAACUACUUAAAGAUACUAAUAAAAUGCAUAACAAAUAUUCAUAAUUAUCAUGGCAGUAUGUUACAAUUAAAAAAUAUAUUAAUGGUCCUAAAUGCAGGCUUCCAUUUUCAUGUAAAAUAUGAUUACUGGUUUUAUUUGUUUUGAUUUUGGGGUGAAAUGUGAUUUGGACAUGUUUCUAGAGAUUAAACAAUCUGUACACAUAAACAUUUGACAGUGACUCAUUGUAGUUGAUGUUGCUUCUUUCUGAUCCUUUCCUUUUGUGAAACCACAGCAAAGUGUAAGAAAAAAAGCGUUACAGGUGUUAUAAUAAUCAGUAAGCAAAAAGCGGAGAUUUCAUUUGGUUGGUGGGAAAUGGCUUGUUUGCUCUCGUAAUCAUGCACUCUGUGACAGGAAAUCCUUAGAUCAACAGGCAUCUUGCUAGGGUAUACAAUGGAAGUGUUGAAACCAGCAGCCGACCUAAAAAAUGCUGCUUUCACCAAUGCAUUGUAUUCUAGCAAUGAAUGAAUUCUAAUAGGAUCUUAUUGCAAGGUUUCAUGUGUUGCACUAAAAAUACUAGUUGUGCUGCAACUGUGAGGUGCAUCCAGAAGAUAUAAUAAACAGCAACCACAGGACCGCACACCGAAACUACAGCUUAACUAAAACAUGCCACUGAUGAAUGUGUCUGACAACCACAUGAAAUUGAUGAAUUAGCACUCUAUAUGCUUUUCCUGUAAAGUAAGCCCAAGUGCACAAGGCAUUCUUAUUUCCUUUGGUGUACUUAUAUAUUUGUGACAGUAAGCAUUGUUAAUUUCAUUUUUUGUUUAAAGUGUCUUGGCAAAAUUCAAAACAUGAGCACAAGAAUAACUCAGCUACAUGACUGAGGGUAAAAUGUCAGCUUCUGAAGUGAGAUAUGAAGUCGGUAACGGGAAAUGUGGGUGCAUGAGUAAAGAUAAAAUCACUACCAUCUAUGUUGGCAUUUUUGGAAAGUGUUUGACAAUAAUAGAGACAAUAUUUCUGUUUUGCAGAGAUGCGUCAGGUCAUUUUAAGCAACCCUGCCGAGAAAUAAGGGUCACCUUGCUCUACUAACCAGUACAAUGCUUUUAGGUAAUACUAAAACAUGAUUAUGAAAAAUGUAUAAAAUUAAAAGUUAGAUAUUGUGGCAAGGAGGAGGGCGGGGUCGGGCCGUGUUGACUCACACCCGGUCCCUAAUCAGGCUAAUCAAGCCGAUGAGAGGGAUAAAGGCCGCCGGAGGCGGAGGUUCAGGAGAGAGAGACAGCUACGGGCAGCUGCCCUGUAUGUGUUUAUGUUUGUGUCUUUUUGUUUAAGUUUAUUAUUAAACUAUUAUUUAGAUGGUCGUGCCAGUUCUCACCUCCUCCUUUCCCUUUUACCCCGUUACAUUGUUGCCGAAACCAGGGAAGGAGGAGGGAUGCGCUGUAGAAGAGUCCUCACCACUACCAUCCACCCCAAAGGAGCAGCCGCGGCCAUCCACUGGGGGAUGGAGGAGCCCGGCCGCCUGAAAGUGGAGGAAUGACCGCUGACCGCGAGGGGAGGAGGGGCUCCUUACCGACCUCCUGGAGCAGAAGAACAGCUGCCAGGGGCGGAAGAGACCCCUACCAUCCACCAAAACGCGGCGGGGCUUUCCGUCCACCAGGGGCUGGAGUACUGCCUCCGAUCCACAAGUGGAGGAGUGGCUGUCAUCCACUAGAGCAUGGAGGAGUGACCGAGGACAAGGCUACAAUAUAUCAGAGAACCGGCGAAACAACCUGCUAGACAGCAACCAGUCUGGCUUCAAAAGUGGACACUCUACAGAGAAUGCACUGCUGUCAGUUACUGAAGCUCUUAGACUGGCGAGAGCAGCAUCCAACUCAUUCGUACUCAUCCUACUGGAUCUGUCCGCUGCUUUCGAAACAGUAAACCACCAGAUUCUGGCAUAACAGGAACUGCGCCCCACUGGUUCAAAUCUUACCUCACAGCCUGAUGAUCCAACGGUAGUGGCCCGGGUCUCAGCCUGCGCAGCAGAAAUUUCGUGUUGGAUGAAAGAUCACCACCUCCAACUCAUCUUUGCUAAAACAGAGCUGCUUGUGCUUCCAGCAAGCCCAGCAAUUCAUCACAACUUCACCAUUCAGCUAGACUCGUCAACGGAUUUGCAGAUUUGUACAACAUUAGGAAGAUCAGGCCCUUCCUAUCGGAGCAUGCUACACAACUCCUCGUCCAAGCUCUUGUUCUAUCCAGGCUGGAUUAUUGCAGUGUUCUUCUGGCAGGCCUUCCAGCAUGUACUGUCAAACCUCUGCAAUUGAUCCAGAAUGCGGCAGCGAGAGUGGUCUUCAACGAGCCCAAGAGAGCACACUUCACGCCUCUCUUCAUCAAAUUGCACAGGCUGCCAAUGGUUGCUACUGUUAAGUUCAAGUCACUGAUGCUUGCUUACAGAACAUCCACUUGCUCUGCACCCCACUAUCUAAACUCACUACUUCAGACUUAUGUUCCCUUCAGAAACCUGCGUUCUGCAGGUGAAUGGCGCCUCAUAGUGCCAUCUCAUAGAGGCACAAAAUCACUGUCCCAGACCUUCACCUUGACUGUUCCCCGCUAGUGGAAUGACCUGCCUAAUUCCACCUGAACGGCUGUGUCUUUAGCCUCUUUCAAAAAACAGCUAAAGACACAUCUCUUUCUUGAACACCUAACCCACUCAUACUAACACACUACCUUCACGUUCUUUAAAAAAAAAAUUCCUUGCUAUGUGUACUGCUCUAAACUAUGUGAGAUGUGUUUUACAGCACUUAUUAUAUUGUUGCCCCUUUUGUUGGAUGAAUCGCUUCUAUUGUUCUCCUCAUUUGUAAGUCGCUUUGGAUAAAAGCGUCUGCUAAAUGAAUAAAUGGAAAUGAAAAUGAAAGAAAGUCAUACACAUCUGAGAUGGCAUGAGUGUGAACAAAUGAUGAAAGGAUUUUCAAUUUUGAGUGAACUAUUCCUUUUAGGAGUUACCAUGGUGGUCAGUGCUAUUUUUUUCUUACAUUUGAUUAGUGACCUUGAAAUAUCUUAAAAAAUCUUAAAUAUUUCAUCCUCAUUUUAAGUCAUAACUUUUUUUGUAUUACAUUUUCCAUAUACCAAACACUUUGUUUUCUUUCCUGAAUUAGAUUUGGAAUCUGGGAUUUUCAAAUUGGUCUCAGAUUU
Molecule: long non-coding RNA, 3479 nt
Organism: Myxocyprinus asiaticus (Chinese sucker)
Lineage: Eukaryota; Metazoa; Chordata; Actinopteri; Cypriniformes; Catostomidae
Exons: 3
Source: RefSeq, a predicted model, not a curated record